CCCCCUUAUAAAAGAAAAAACAACCAGCGCCCCAUUAGUUACCCGCCCACCGCCAUCGCCUUCCUUCCUUCUUCCGCACUCCUCGAGAAAAAGUCGGCUUCGUUAGUUUUCCCCUGGUAUCUGUAUAUAAGCAAGCGUUCCGCUUUAUAUCGUUUUGCUCUCUUCUCCAAGUAAACCCCAUCUUAACCUUUCGUCUCAGCUAACAACACGUCGAAUUCUUUCAAUCUCUUCUGUUUCUUCUAUUCAAUUCUGUCCUUCAGAGACGUAUAAUUAGAUUGUUUGUUUGUUUGUGUCUUUUCUUUUCCUGAUUUUUUUCUGGGUUCUUUCGACUUGUUUUCGUUAGAUUCUUUCUGGGUACAGAUUCUCUGUUUUUCUUUUUUGCUUAGGACUCGAUAUUGGUACAUAUUCUGAUCCAAAAGUAGAAACUUUUUUUCUCGGUUUGUUUAAAUUAUUGCCACUAUGGCUUUUAACCCAAACGAAUACGACAACAAUGACAACUUCCUUUCUGUCGAAACACGAAACUCUGGGAAGACUCACACGGCAACUUUAAAUUCGACUACGUUAGACACGGUGAAUGAUCAAGAAUCCAUUCUUUCCGAUUGCGAAAGCUGCGUUUCUGGCCCCAGUUUUGAUCAAUCUCCGCUGUUUAACAAUGGAUUGGUUCGGUUAUUCCCGGGGGACAAGGCGCAUGACGUGAUCAUGAAAAGGUUUCUUUCCAAUCUGGGUUCUCUGGCGGCUCAUACUAAGGACUUGGCAAUCCAUAAAAAUAGUUUUCUUGGUGUUACUUGGCAAGCAAGGCUUCAAUCUUUCCAGAUUUUCAUCAAAGCAAUGGAGCAAAAAUGUGGGGGCGACGCCAAUGUUAAGUAUGCUUGGUGUUCUGCUUCUAGAGAUGAGAUUUGUCGGAUUGUUGACCAUGGUUUUGGUCAUUGCGGGUUGCCUGAAAACAGUGGAUUGUAUGGUUGCGGCCUCUAUCUUUCCCCUGAUGAUUCUCCCAUGGAGAGUGUGAAGAAUGCACUGGUUGAUAAAAAUGGGAUUAGGCAUUUAAUGCUUUGCCGUGUGAUAUUGGGGAAGGCAGAGGCGGUGCAGCCUGGUUCUAAGCAAUGUCAUCCAAGUUCAGAUGAGUUUGAUUCUGGCGUUGACAAUCUGUCGUCGCCGAAAAAGUAUAUUUUAUGGAGUACACACAUGAAUACUCACAUCUUGCCAGAGUUCAUAUUGAGUUUCACAGCUCCAUCGUCCUUGAAAGGUUUCCUUGGGAUGCAAGAUAGGUUGAGGAUGCCAACCUCGCCUUGGAUAUCAUUUCCAGCUCUCAUAUCUGCACUUUCGGAGUUCUUACCUCCUACUUCCGUCAAUUUGAUCUCCAAGUAUCACAAAGAUCACAGGGAUAAGAAAAUAUCAAGGCAUGAACUGAUACAAUUUGUAAGACAAAUAGCAGGAGACAAGUUGUUGGCUGCUGUCAUCAAAUCCUCCAGGACCAAGCCUAACAAUUAGGUGGAACACUGCUGACAACCUAACAAUUGGGUGGAAGACAAAAAAUUUCUUGAUUGAGGAAAACAGCCUAUUCCAUUUGGCAGCAUUCAACGAACAACUGAGCAUGGAUCCAGGAGCAGGUUUCGACAUCCUUAGAAGGCUGGCUAUCUAGGUUGACUCAAUGUUUAAGGGGAUGAGAAUUUUCUGUAUAUAAGGAGAAGUAGCGAUCACUGAGCGGGGAUGAGAAGGCAAAUCACACAGACCAGGCAGAUAGUGAAAGCUUGAGGUGGAACUAAGGUCCUGUUUUGUCAAAAACCAGUUGUGGAGUGUUUGGUGUCUUUGCUUUACAAAGCUGUCACUUCUUCCUUUCAAAUUACACUAGUGAGAAUGAAGUUGGUUCCCUGUUUUUGGUUUAUUGAGGAAGUAAAUACUAUGGUUGCAUUGACUUAGAAAUUGUAGAAUGUCCAAAGACAGCUUAAAGAUCAGAUUUUUGUAGUCAGCUUAACAAUACAAACUUCAUUUACUUUCUUCAAAAUCUUGGUGUUUAGACAGAUUUACUAAGCAAGUUGGUCCUUUGCUGAAUAUGAAAAACUGAAAAGUAGCCUCUUUGAUUAGUA
Theobroma umbraticum is the source of this 2084-nucleotide RNA transcript. It is a transcript of the gene named putative inactive poly [ADP-ribose] polymerase SRO5, with no coding region annotated. Lineage: Eukaryota; Viridiplantae; Streptophyta; Magnoliopsida; Malvales; Malvaceae. The record is from RefSeq and is a predicted model, not a curated record.